RNAcentral lists this long non-coding RNA (454 nucleotides) under Equus caballus (horse). RNAcentral's name for it is "lncRNA (ENSECAG00000045562.1)". The record is from RNAcentral. Lineage: Eukaryota; Metazoa; Chordata; Mammalia; Perissodactyla; Equidae.
GUCUACAGAUUAAAGAGUCAAGUCAAAAUAAAACCAACACUUCAUGCUAGUGUCUUGCUGCAAUCCUCAACUUGCACACCCUGUGGCUCUCGUGUUGGGAUCAAUCCUACAGCUUUCCUUAAACAAUUAUAAACUUCUUCACCAAGAACCACUGAAGAUGUGCUCUUGCAAGGUUGCAGUGUUUGAACCAGAAACAUGCAUGGUCCUUUGGCCAUCGAGAUUUCUCUGGAUAUUUUAUGAGUAGUGGUGGACAGGGACAACUUGACGUUAGAAAUUACAGAGAAAGUUUGUCACAUGCAAGCUUGCUGCAAAGUCUCUGACAUGUGGUAAUCAUGACAACUGGAUUUCAUUUACUCUAAUACACUAUGAAAUGGCUACACCUGGACAGCAGGUGGAACUAACAGAAAUGGAUGUAACCACCAUUGAAUGGCUGAAAGAUGACUUCCAUCUCCCU